This 422-nucleotide ribosomal RNA is filed under the name uncultured bacterium. Its description in RNAcentral is "partial 16S ribosomal RNA". It matches the Rfam family "Bacterial small subunit ribosomal RNA", at positions 360 to 774 of the family's 1533-position model. The record is from RNAcentral.
AAUCUUCCACAAUGGACGAAAGUCUGAUGGAGCAACGCCGCGUGAGCGAAGAAGGUUUUCGGAUCGUAAAGCUCUGUUGCGAGGGAAGAACAAGUACGGGAGUAACUGCCCGUACCUUGACGGUACCCGAGGAGGAAGCCCCGGCUAACUACGUGCCAGCAGCCGCGGUAAUACGUAGGGGGCAAGCGUUGUCCGGAAUUAUUGGGCGUAAAGGGUGCGUAGGCGGCUUUUUAAGUCAGAUGUGAAAGACCACGGCUUAACCGUGGGGUUGCAUUUGAAACUGGAAGGCUUGAGUAUCGGAGAGGGUAGUGGAAUUCCCAGUGUAGCGGUGAAAUGCGUAGAUAUUGGGAGGAACACCAGUGGCGAAGGCGACUACCUGGACGAAAACUGACGCUGAUGCACGAAAGCUAGGGGAGCAAACA